Molecule: non-coding RNA, 1142 nt
Organism: Zootoca vivipara (common lizard)
Lineage: Eukaryota; Metazoa; Chordata; Lepidosauria; Squamata; Lacertidae
Source: RefSeq, a predicted model, not a curated record
GCCGCCCAGAGGGUGGUUGGGGAAACCCAGCCAGAUGGGCGGGAUAUGAAUAAUAAAAUUAUCGUUGCUGUUGCAAACCUUUACAGGUUUGGAAUUGACAUCUGCUGGUGUCCACCUCAGUUUUAUUGCUGACCUACAACUGCCUCUGGCUCCUGAUACUCAGCCUUUAAAUAGGAAGUGAAUCAGAUUUGUCCCCUGUCCCCACUCUUGACAUAAAUGGGCCAAAUAAAAUGAAAAACUAAAAUAUGGCACUCCCCCAAAACAGAUACUUAGACUUUUCAGAAGACUAUUCCUGAAAAUACUCCACAAAAGGCGAAGUAAAAUGAAUGAGUAGCAAAAUUAAGACUACUUUUUAACCCAGGAAAAUCUUCUCAAAAGUCGGGGGUCAUCUUAUACGCUGGGUCGUCUUAUAUGCAUCCGCAGAAGCGUUUUCUGGCGCUGUGGACAUUUUGGAAAUGGGCAGCACGAGCAUGUCCGGCCCACGGACGAUCGUAGGAAGAGGGGUAGUCUUAUAUGUUGUCCCUGUUUCCAUGACAGCAUUGAUCAGGAAAAACUGAGCUUGUGGCAAAGAUGCUGAAUUGGAGCAGCUUCUGAGUUGGAGUGAACAAGGAGGCCUGAAGGACUGAGAAAAUGAGACAAUAACGUCAGGUCACGUCUCCCUCGUAAGCACCCCUCUCUGGCCGCAGCAUUUAGGAAGUGCUGCAACAACGUAAUCUCUCUUUUGCUCUGUGGUUUCCUUUCAGCUUCCUAAGAGCUCGAAAGGAAGGAGCAGGACCCUGCCCAGAGGUGGAGAAAUGUAUACAACCCUAAGUACGCAAAACUAUGAAGAGAAAAUUAUGCAGUUAUCAACAUAACUUGUUCUGCAAAAUAUUUCCAGCCAUUAGGGAGAUGAAGGAGGCUUCCUCAGGCAGCAGCUUCUGGUCCAGUUAAAGCCCAAGCCCAGAAUGAGAACGCCUAAAAAUUUCUUGAGCGUUUUCGCAUUCCCUGAGAAAGACAAGCGGGCCGAAUAAUUCACCCUCCUGGCCGAUAUUUCUGGGCUUUGGGGCGUCUCUGAAACAGAGAAAGGAAAGUCUUCUGCCGUGAUGCACACGCACGGAGAAGAAGGGGAGCGUCAGCAGCGCCCCGACGCCGCUCCAGCGAGA